This is a long non-coding RNA of Mesocricetus auratus (golden hamster), 2144 nucleotides long. RefSeq lists it as uncharacterized. Lineage: Eukaryota; Metazoa; Chordata; Mammalia; Rodentia; Cricetidae. The record is from RefSeq and is a predicted model, not a curated record. The transcript has 2 exons.
UGUCUUGGAGGCUGUCCUGGAACUCCCUUGGUAGACCAGGCUGGCCUUGAACUCACAGAGAUCCGCCUGCCUCUGCCUCCCAAGUGCUGGGAUAAAAGGCGUGCGCCACCAACGCCCGGCGCUCCAUGGGCUCUUGAGGGAAGAGAGAAGUCUAACUGUUGACAAGAAAUUCUGAUGAAAUAGGAGUUCCUGAGCAGAAGAUUCAACAGGAGUCUACAAACAGCCAAAAAAAAAAGGGGGGAGGACCAAGAAUAAGCAAAGUAAUGGAGUGAAAGGGCCGCUAGGGAGUAUCCAGGAGGAAGCAGGUGCUUCUGACUCUGAUGCUCAGGGUGUGGGAAGAAAAGGUUAGAACAGACGCUGGCACAAACUGAUGGAUGUUAUCCACCGUGGAGGUUCAGCCAGAGGCCAUUGGGAAUGCCACUGCCAAUACAGAAGUACUUUGGACCACGGAUCUCACUGCCCAAGGCAUGAGGAAAGCCUGCCAAGACGUGGGUAUGGGGGGAAAGUAAGGGGAGCAGGCACUGGGGAAGGUGGCAGUGUGUGUGAGAGAGGAUGUCUGCCCAGCCCAUGAGAGCAGAGGAGGGCAUCGGAUCCCCUGGGGCUGGGGUGACAGGUGGCUCUGAGUUGUCAGAUGUGGGUGUUGGGAACCACUGGGUCCUUUGCAAGACUUUUCUUUUUGAUUUUGGUGUGUGUGUGUGUGUGUGUGAGAGAGAGAGAGAGAGAGAGAGAGAGAGAGAGAGAGAGAGAGAGAGAGAGAUUAUUUGUCUAGAACUUCCUAUGUAGGUGAGUUCAACUUCAAACUGACAGAUCUGCCUGCUUCUCUAUCUUCUAAGGGGUUUUGUUUGAGUGUAAUUGUGUAUGUCUGUGUGUGUUUAUGCAGUAUGUGUGGGGGUGAGCUGCCUCAUGUAGAUGCUGGGAACCAAACUUGUGUCCUCUUAACUGAGCCUUCUCUCCAGCCUGGACUUUGGAUGGCUAGAGCCCCUCAUGCUUUGGAUGGAUAGACUACCUCCUUGCUUUCUUCAUGGAUGUAUGCUUAGACUACCUCCUUGCUUUCUUCAUGGAUGUAUGCUUAGACUACCUCCUUGCUUUCCUCAUGAAAGGUCCUUUUGCUGGCCAGGGUACCCUAGGUGAGAAAAUCCAUUCAUUUUUAAAGCCUUGGGGAAGGAAGUGUAAGAGCCAGUGUGAGGCCGUUAUGACAGAACAGCUUCACUGUGUGAGGUGAGAGAGCCUGUGGUGGUUAGGGGCUUGGUGAUGGCACUGGAGGGAGGGUGCCACCUGGCUCCUUGACAGUGUAUCCUGUUCUUAGUGACGUUGACAAGGUAGGAGAACUGCUGGCUGACAUCGCAGAACAACAGAAACUGGUCCCGCAGGUAUCAGAUGCCCUUCCUCGCCCCGUGAGUUUCGGAGAUGGUGUGGAUGAGGGAUGGGAGCAAGGGGUUGGAGAGUAUUGGAAAAAGCACUGGACUGCUCAGAAGGACCAGAAGAGGCUCUGGAACAACUUGGGGAGGGAACUUCAAAAGUGAUCUCUUGGGGACUGAUUGUUUUCUUUGUCUUGACCAGUCUUGUCAUCCUGUGUCCAGGAUGAAUUGCUGCAAGAUCUAGAAGAGUUGGAGCAAGAGGAACUACCUAGGAGCUGUUAAAUGUAGGCAACAAGGAGGAAAACCCCCAGCCAGAUUGUCUAGCAUACUUUAUGCACGUCUGCCUACAGGGCCGGGUACCCAGAGCUCUUUGUUAAAGACGAGAGAGGGUGAAAGAUAGGAGAAAGGAUGAAGAUAAAGAAGCACUAAAGUGCUUGGUGGGCUGGGAGUCCCGAGAGUCUGGGUUGUCUUCCUGCUGCUGUCCUUAAGGGCGAAAUACGGAGGGCUACAGGAGCAUCGAUCUGGGGUUUCCUGCUGCAGGGGCAGUGACCGUCUGAGAAGGGCCCGUUGUUCUCGCCUCUUUGGCUGAACUUUGAAGAAGUAUCUUGCUGCAGAAGGAGCCUAUAGGCUCCCUUCUCUUUGGUAUCAGAAGACUGCUUUUUGUCCCCAGUAAAACUGUGUAGUGGAUCCCUACUGUCUGUAUGUCUUGUCUAUGCCUGAGAUCCUUCCUUCUGGUUCUCAGAGCCUUGUUUUAAGUAGUGGAAAACAAAUGGCCAUUUCCAAUAA